CGGACGGGUGAGUAAUGUCUGGGAAACUGCCUGAUGGAGGGGGAUAACUACUGGAAACGGUAGCUAAUACCGCAUAACGUCGCAAGACCAAAGAGGGAGACCUUAGGGCCUCUUGCCAUCGGAUGUGCCCAGAUGGGAUUAGCUAGUAGGUGGGGUAACGGCUCACCUAGGCGACGAUCCCUAGCUGGUCUGAGAGGAUGACCAGCCACACUGGAACUGAGACACGGUCCAG
Molecule: ribosomal RNA, 232 nt
Filed under: uncultured bacterium
Lineage: Bacteria
Description: partial 16S ribosomal RNA
Rfam family: Bacterial small subunit ribosomal RNA
Source: RNAcentral